RNAcentral lists this unclassified non-coding RNA (339 nucleotides) under soil metagenome. Its description in RNAcentral is "partial contains 5.8S ribosomal RNA, internal transcribed spacer 2, and large subunit ribosomal RNA". The stretch from base 1 to 120 matches the Rfam family "5.8S ribosomal RNA", at positions 35 to 154 of the family's 154-position model. The record is from RNAcentral.
GAUGAAGAACGUAGCGAAAUGCGAUACGUAGUGUGAAUUGCAGAAUUCAGUGAAUCAUCGAAUAUUUGAACGCACAUUGCACCUCUCGGUAUUCCGGGAGGUAUGCCUGUUCGAGCGUCAUUUGUACCCUCAAGCUCUGCUUGGUGUUGGGUGUUUGUUCCGCCUCUGUGUGUGAACUCGCCUCAAAACAAUUGGCAGCCGGCGUACUUGUUUCGGAGCGCAGCACAUUUUGCGAUCCAGAUCAACGUACAGCGGCAUCCAAGAAGCCUUAUUUAACGCUCUUGACCUCGGAUCAGGUAGGGAUACCCGCUGAACUUAAGCAUAUCAAUAAGCGGAGGA